This 72-nucleotide transfer RNA is filed under the name Camelus bactrianus (Bactrian camel). It matches the Rfam family "tRNA". Rfam says of the family: Transfer RNA (tRNA) molecules are approximately 80 nucleotides in length. Their secondary structure includes four short double-helical elements and three loops (D, anti-codon, and T loops). Further hydrogen bonds mediate the characteristic L-shaped molecular structure. tRNAs have two regions of fundamental functional importance: the anti-codon, which is responsible for specific mRNA codon recognition, and the 3' end, to which the tRNAs corresponding amino acid is attached (by aminoacyl-tRNA synthetases). tRNAs cope with the degeneracy of the genetic code in two manners: having more than one tRNA (with a specific anti-codon) for a particular amino acid; and 'wobble' base-pairing, i.e. permitting non-standard base-pairing at the 3rd anti-codon position. Lineage: Eukaryota; Metazoa; Chordata; Mammalia; Artiodactyla; Camelidae. The record is from Rfam by way of RNAcentral. RNAcentral also lists the same sequence under 2 other names.
GUGAGUAAAGCUCAGUGGUAGAGCACAUGCUCAGCAUGCAUGAAGUCCUAGGUUCAAUCCCCAGUACCUCCA